Molecule: unclassified non-coding RNA, 205 nt
Filed under: Hevea brasiliensis (rubber tree)
Lineage: Eukaryota; Viridiplantae; Streptophyta; Magnoliopsida; Malpighiales; Euphorbiaceae
Source: RNAcentral
GCAGAACUUUGUCACCUUCCCUGCAGCUGCUAUACGCACUUCGGCUUCAUUAUCACGAAGAAGCCGUACAUAUGCAGGCACCAAAUCCGCCCUAGUAGGUUCGGGGCCAACAGCUUCACAAAGCUCGUAUAACUGAUUUGCUACCAUAUAACGAACACGCCAGGAUUUAUCCUGCGAGAAAUUAACAAUGACGGGAAGAAUAUGU